CCUACGGGUGGCAGCAGUGGGGAAUAUUGGGCAAUGGGCGCGAGCCUGACCCAGCAACGCAGCGUGAAGGAAGAAUGCUUUAGGGUUGGAAACUUCUUUUAUCAGGGACGAAGCAAGUGACGGUACCUGAUGAAUAAGCCACGGCUAACUACGUGCCAGCAGCCGCGGUAAUACGUAGGUGGCAAGCGUUAUCCGGAUUUACUGGGUGUAAAGGGCGUGUAGGCGGGAGUGCAAGUCAGAUGUGAAAACUAUGGGCUCAACCCAUAGACUGCAUUUGAGACUGGACUCCUUGAGUGCUGGAGAGGUAAUCGGAAUUCGGGGUGUAGCGGUGAAAUGCGUAGAUAUCAGGAGGAACACCAGUGGCGAAGGCGGAUUGCUGGACAGUAACUGACACUGAGGCGCGAAAGCGUGUGGAGCAAACAGGAUUAGAUACCCCAGUAGUC
Molecule: ribosomal RNA, 443 nt
Filed under: uncultured bacterium
Lineage: Bacteria
Description: partial 16S ribosomal RNA
Rfam family: Bacterial small subunit ribosomal RNA
Source: RNAcentral